GGGUUUGCUUUGGCAGCUCAUAUGCUAAAAUUAGAAUGGCGCAAAGAUUAGCAUGGGCCCUGUGCAAGGAUGACAUGAAAAUUUGGAAGCAUUCCAUAUUAGA
Vombatus ursinus (common wombat) is the source of this 103-nucleotide small nuclear RNA. The record is from Ensembl. Lineage: Eukaryota; Metazoa; Chordata; Mammalia; Diprotodontia; Vombatidae.